RNAcentral lists this small RNA (127 nucleotides) under Marmota monax (woodchuck). Lineage: Eukaryota; Metazoa; Chordata; Mammalia; Rodentia; Sciuridae. The record is from RNAcentral.
GCUGGGUGUGGUGGCGUUCACCUGUCAUCCCAGCUGCCUGGGAGGCUGAGGCAGAGGGAUCAUGAAUUCAAAGCCAGCCCCGGCAACUUAGUGAAGUCCUACGCAACUUAACAAGACCCUGUCUCUA